AAUGCGUGACCAACCUGCCCCAUGCUCCAGAAUAGCUCUUGGAAACGGGUGGUAAUGCUGGAUGCUCCAACUUGACGCAUGUCUUGUUGGGAAAGUGUUUAGUGGCAUGGGAUGGGGUCGCGUCCUAUCAGCUUGUAGGCGGGGUAAUGGCCCACCUAGGCUUCGACGGGUAGCCGGCCUGAGAGAGCGGACGGCCACAUUGGGACUGAGAUACGGCCCAGACUCCUACGGGAGGCAGCAGAU
This 243-nucleotide ribosomal RNA is filed under the name uncultured Gardnerella sp. RNAcentral describes it as "partial 16S ribosomal RNA". It matches the Rfam family "Bacterial small subunit ribosomal RNA", at positions 112 to 354 of the family's 1533-position model. Lineage: Bacteria; Bacillati; Actinomycetota; Actinomycetes; Bifidobacteriales; Bifidobacteriaceae. The record is from RNAcentral.